This 305-nucleotide ribosomal RNA is filed under the name uncultured bacterium. Its description in RNAcentral is "bacterial SSU rRNA". It matches the Rfam family "Bacterial small subunit ribosomal RNA", at positions 333 to 654 of the family's 1533-position model. The record is from RNAcentral.
UUGUGCCUACGGGGGGCAGCAGUCGGGAAUAUUGCGCAAUGGAGGAAACUCUGACGCAGUGACGCCGCGUGCAGGAAGAAGGUUUUCGGAUUGUAAACUGCUUUAGACAGGGAAGAAAAAAGACAGUACCUGUAGAAUAAGCUCCGGCUAACUACGUGCCAGCAGCCGCGGUAAUACGUAGGGAGCGAGCGUUAUCCGGAUUUAUUGGGUGUAAAGGGCGUGUAGGCGGAGCUGCAAGUCAGAUGUGAAAUCCCGGGGCUCAACCCCGGAACUGCAUUUGAAACUGUAGCCCUUGAGUAUCGGAG